Long non-coding RNA from Suricata suricatta (meerkat), 1427 nucleotides. NCBI's taxonomy places the organism in Eukaryota, Metazoa, Chordata, Mammalia, Carnivora, Herpestidae. The record is from Ensembl.
CAGCUUACCUCCCCAACUUUCUUUCUCAUCAACUUGAUUCCAUAGCAAACAAACCUUCCAUCUUGGUCCUGGCCCAGCUCUGCUUUCUCUCAGCCCAGGAGAGCGUGCCUUCAGCACAGACCAGCGCCAAGAGGGAGACGGGACUGCUGAGAGCUGGAAACGGGAUCCCACUCGAACACCCACGCCCCACAGAUCCCGGGUAUCCCGGAAGCAGUGCCGGCGUGCUUCCUGGGGAUUUGUGAGAUGCUUUCACCUGGGCUGGGGAGCCUCGGGGACAAUCACCGAUCAAAAUCAGCUGACUGUGCUCAGCUGCCCGUUAUGGAACGCCUCUGGGUCACGCAGCUGCCUGCACCUGAGCUACCCUCUCGGCGUUGCAAGCCCGCAGAUGGACCCUAAGAAGCCGGUGGCUGCUGAAGACCUUUGCCGUGAUUUUCAGCCGGAGACACUGCCAGCUGGUCCGAGACGACCUCGGGCUGCCCGCAGAGCUGCCGCAGCAUGGCGGGGAUGCUUUGCUAACGCUGCAGGAUGUAUUAACGGAAGAGAAAUGAGGCUCUUUCACGACGGGUCCCUGAGUUGUUUGGGGGAGGGUUGCAUCAAUCUGCCGGCAAUGCUUAGUAGUAAUAAAUGGGUUUAUGAUAUGCAUCUGGCUUGGUGGAGCCUGGGGGCUCGGACCACGUAAGGCUGGCCACGUGGCUUCAAUAAGCCUGCAGGACUGGCUCGCUCUAAGAGACUCCCACCACGAAUAGACUUUGGGUUCCUUCUGCUCAGGUUCUCUGCAUGUACACCGGUGAGGAUGUGGGACCUGUGUGACUCAGCAACGGGAGGACAAAGAAGAACUGCUCCUGAGAGUGCCAGACCCCUCCCCCUCUCCUGUGUCACACCCAGUGCCUGUGACAAGACUGAGAGUGACACUUCUGAAUCCUGUGAGCCCUGUCAGCAGCAGAGCGUUGAAGGUAAUUAAUGUGCAAUUAACACACAUUAUCUUUCGAUGCACCUUCAUGGUCUAUUCUUCAUGUCACCUAAACCGUCUGCUUGCUAAGUGCACUUGGUCGUUGGCGAUCAGUCUGGUGACCCGGAAAUGGGAAGGAAGGCUCGUUACCAGGGGAAUACUGAGGGCUCUCGGUUGUAAUUCUGUGGCCUCCAUAAACACACCGAAGAGAAUGCAGGUGAUUUGCUCAACCAGCACAUAAAUUGGAAAAGCACAAAGCCUCUCCCGCAGGGAAUCUGUCUACAGGGAAGUGAGCGGGGACACCGGAGAGCAGCUUUCUCAGGAGGAAGGCAGCUGGGAAGAGAGACGAGCACCGGGACAGAGCCCCGUGGAUGGGACAGAGGGAUGCACUCCGAGACCUGAAGAGGGAACCGCAGACUCUGCUGGGUAAGCAUAUGUACUUAAAAAAUAAUGAUUUAAUGAGGUGAAAUUCAUACAA